ACUCAAAGGAAUUGACGGGGGCCCGCACAAGCGGUGGAGCAUGUGGAUUAAUUCGUCACUAACCGAAGAACCUUACCCAGGUUUGACAUCCCUCGCACCGGCCUGAAAGGGUCGUUCCCUUCGGGGACGAGGAGACAGGUGUUGCAUGGCUGUCGUCAGCUCGUGUCGUGAGAUGUUGGGUUAAGUCCCGCAACGAGCGCAACCCUCACCGUAUGUUGCCAGCGUAAAGUCGGGAACUCUUACGGAACUGCCCGUGCAAACGGGAGGAAGGCGGGGAUGACGUCAAGUCGGCAUGGCCCUUACGCCUGGGGCUUCACACAUGCUACAAUGGUGCCUACAAAGGGGUGCGACCCCGCGAGGGUGAGCGAAUCUCAAAAAAGGCAUCUCAGUUCGGAUUGCAGGCUGCAACUCGCCUGCAUGAAGCUGGAAUCGCUAGUAACCGCAGGUCAGCGAAACUGCGGUGAAUACGUUCCCGGGCCUUGCACACACCGCCCGU
Molecule: ribosomal RNA, 496 nt
Filed under: uncultured bacterium
Lineage: Bacteria
Description: partial 16S ribosomal RNA
Rfam family: Bacterial small subunit ribosomal RNA
Source: RNAcentral